GAUGAACGCUGGCGGCGUGCCUAAUACAUGCAAGUCGAGCGAACAGACGAGGAGCUUGCUCCUCUGACGUUAGCGGCGGACGGGCGAGUAACACGUGGAUAACCUACUUAUAAGACUGGGAUAACUUCGGGAAACCGGAGCUAAUACCGGAUAACAUGUUGAACCGCAUGGUUCAACAGUGAAAGACGGUCUUGCUGUCACUUAUAGAUGGAUCCGCGCCGCAUUAGCUAGUUGGUAAGGUAACGGCUUACCAAGGCAACGAUGCGUAGCCGACCUGAGAGGGUGAUCGGCCACACUGGAACUGAGACACGGUCCAGACUCCUACGGGAGGCAGCAGUAGGGAAUCUUCGGCAAUGGGCGAAAGCCUGACGGAGCAACGCCGCGUGAGUGAAGAAGGUCUUCGGAUCGUAAAGCUCUUUUAUUAGGAAAGAACAAAAGUGUAAGUAACUAUGCACGUCUUGACGGUACCUAAACAGAAAGCCACGGCUAACUACGUG
RNAcentral lists this ribosomal RNA (497 nucleotides) under uncultured bacterium. RNAcentral describes it as "partial 16S ribosomal RNA". It matches the Rfam family "Bacterial small subunit ribosomal RNA", at positions 28 to 507 of the family's 1533-position model. The record is from RNAcentral.